UUGACAGGUGUACUAUGUUUAUGGCUUUAUGCUGCUGGUUUUUCUGAUUCUCAUUAUUGUUACGGUUUGUGUUACAAUUGUGGGCACGUAUUUCUUGCUAAAUGCUGAGAACUAUCACUGGCAGUGGACUUCAUUCUUCUCCGCUGCAUCAACAGCUGUCUACGUGUACUUGUAUUCAAUAUAUUACUACUAUGUGAAGACUAAGAUGUCAGGCUUCUUCCAGACCAGCUUCUAUUUUGGAUACAGUGGAGGAAUCAAAAUUUGUGAUUGAAGUCAAGACAAUCUAGAGAAUGGAGCUUCUUGGCCUUGGGUGGUGGAAAGUAUGGGUUAACCAUGUCAAAGUCAAUGUGCCUUUUGUUUAGAAACUUAUGUAUGGCACAGUUUUUGGACAGUUUAAAACUUUUUGGAUAAUUAAAAUUUAAGGAUAGUUUUUUUU
Camellia sinensis is the source of this 436-nucleotide non-coding RNA. NCBI's taxonomy places the organism in Eukaryota, Viridiplantae, Streptophyta, Magnoliopsida, Ericales, Theaceae. The record is from RefSeq and is a predicted model, not a curated record.